AGUAGUUUGAUCAUGGCUCGAGGACGAACGCUGGCGGCGUGCUUAACACAUGCAAGUCGGACGGGGUUCUUUUGAUCAGCUUGCUGAAUGAGAGAACCUAGUGGCAAACGGGUGAGUAACGCGUAGGCAACCUGCCUUUCUGAUGGGGACAACAUCCCGAAAGGGGUGCUAAUACCGAAUGACGUAUGUUCUCCGCAUGGGGAAGAUACCAAAGAUGGCCUCUACUUGUAAGCUAUCGCAGAAAGAUGGGCCUGCGUCUGAUUAGCCAGUUGGCGGGGUAACGGCCCACCAAAGCGACGAUCAGUAGGGGUUCUGAGAGGAAGGUCCCCCACAUUGGAACUGAGACACGGUCCAAACUCC
Molecule: ribosomal RNA, 360 nt
Filed under: uncultured Veillonellaceae bacterium
Lineage: Bacteria; Bacillati; Bacillota; Negativicutes; Veillonellales; Veillonellaceae
Description: bacterial SSU rRNA
Rfam family: Bacterial small subunit ribosomal RNA
Source: RNAcentral